Amaranthus tricolor (Joseph's coat) is the source of this 3965-nucleotide RNA transcript. It is a transcript of the gene named protein FAR1-RELATED SEQUENCE 3, with no coding region annotated. The transcript has 6 exons. Lineage: Eukaryota; Viridiplantae; Streptophyta; Magnoliopsida; Caryophyllales; Amaranthaceae. The record is from RefSeq and is a predicted model, not a curated record.
GUUAAGACGUCCUAAACUAAGAAUUUGGGUUAAGUCAAACGUAAAAACUCCUCGUUGUACUCUGCCUACCUUCCUCUAUCCUCUCACGUGCAAAAUCAGAAUUAUCACUUCUUCAGCAGAGCAGCCGCCAAUUUGAUCAUCCUUCUGGCCUCCGGUCUCGUCUGUGUCCGUCUCUAGUCACGCCGUUACAGAUUUCUUUACCGUUGCCGUUAUUGAUUCCGUUACCGUUUUCGUUACCGUCUCUCGGAGGUGCCAAUUACGAAUUAUCAUUUUUUUUAAGUAUGAGUUUAUUUAUUUUUUAAAACUAAACUCAAACUGAUUGAAAGGGGAAAACAAUGAAAUCUGGAUUUGUUUAGGGUUUCUCUUCUUUUAAAUUUGUAGGUUUUCUUUCACUUCAAUUUAGUUUAAUUUAGAACAAUAUAUAUCUGUUUUUCUUAGUUAUUAAAAAUUAAUUAUAUAUAUUAAAAAAAAAAAACUUAAGUUUUAUAUUUUUGAUAAGAUAUUGACAAAUUUCUGUUAUCAUUAUUUUUUUUGUGAUUUUUGUUACGUUUUCUUCUUUUUUUUGUCUCUUCAGAAAUGUUUAAUAUUUGAGUUUGUCAAGCUGAUCGUGUUUUCUCUUUUGUGGGUGGGAGCUGUCUUUUAAUUGAACUUUAUGUUAACUGAUUGAUAAAAUUUAUUCCACAUCUAAGUCAGCAAUCAAUAUUGGAUUAGUUUUUGAGAUGUAAAUGUUAUAGAUCUGCAGUUUGAAUUGAUAUGGGUAUUGGGAUUAUUGAUGUAGCUGAUGGGAAUAUGAGGAUUCGUGCCUCGACGGAUAAUGGGGAAACUGGGAUGGGUGAGGGUGGAGAGAGGAAUCCGAAUGAUGAAUAUGCUCUCCAGGAUGAAGUUACAGUGUUAGAGCCUCAUGUGGGUAUGGAGUUUGAAUUGGAAUCCGCUGCCAAGGCAUUCUAUGAAGAGUAUGCUAGGCAAACGGGUUUCAACACGAAAGUCAGUCAGACUGGUCGUUUUAGACAUGGUAGUGGUGCCAUAUCUAGACAAUUUGUAUGUACGAAACUGGGGUCGAAAAGGAAGUCUAAUGAUGUUUGUGAAGCCAUGAUGAGGAUUGAGUUGAAGGGUAACAAGUGGGUUGUGAUGAAAUUUGUCAAGAAGCAUAACCAUGUAUUAGGGAGUCUUAAUAAGGUGCAUAGUAUUCGACCACACAGACAUUUUGCUGGAGCCAUGACGGAUGUUACUGAAGCUUACCGAGCAGGUGUUGUAGUGCCUAAUGGUGUUAUGUAUGGGAGUAUGAAUGGAAAUCAUGCAAGUCAAACAGUUUCUCCUUUAGACUCAAUCCGCCAUAUCAAAAACCCAAGCUGUAUAAAUUAUGCCAUCAAACCGGCUAUACCAAAGAGGACAUGGGGAAAAGAUGCUCAAAAUAUGUUGGACUACUUCAAGAAAAUGCAGGCUGAGAAUCCUGGUUUCUUUUAUGCUAUACAACUCGAUGAAGAUAAUCGUAUGGCUAAUGCAUUUUGGGCAGAUGCAAGGUCAAGGACAGCUUAUAGUCAUUUUGGUGAUGUAGUUACUUUAGACACUUCAUACAUAGUGAAUCAGUAUAAAGUGCCGAUUGCUCCCUUCACUGGAGUGAACCAUCAUGGCCAAACUAUUUUGUUUGGUUGUGCAUUGCUUCUAGAUGAUUCUGAGGCUUCCUUUGUUUGGUUGCUAAAUACAUUUUUGACUGCUAUGAGUGAUCACUCUCCUGAGUCUAUCGUCACUGAUCAGGGUAGAGCCAUACAGGCUGCAGUGAGAACGGUGUUGCCAAGGGCCAGACACUGUAUAAGCAAAUGGCAUGUCCUCAGAGAAGGCCAGGAUAAGAUGGCUCAUGUUUGCCUUAGAUAUCCAAAUUUUCAGGUUGAGUUGUACAAUUGUAUUAAUUUAACUGAAACAAUAGACGAGUUUGAAUCAUCUUGGGCUACAAUUAUUGAUAAGUUUGACUUGAGGAGGAAUGAUUGGCUUCAGUCACUUUAUAAUUCUAGACGACAAUGGGUGCCGGUAUAUUUUCGAGAUUCCUUCUUCGCUGUAGUAUCGCCCAAUCAAGGAGCUGAGUGUUCUUUUUUUGACGGUUUUGUGAAUGAACAUACAACCUUGCCUAUGUUUUUCAGACAGUAUGAAAGAGCUAUGGAGUACUGGUAUGAAAAGGAAUUGGAAGCUGAUUUUGAUACAGUCUCGAAUACACCAGUUUUAAGGACACCAUCGCCUAUGGAGAAGCAGGCUGCUGAUCUCUACACCAGGAAAAUCUUUGCGAAGUUUCAGGAUGAGUUAGUAGAGACUUUUGUAUAUACUGCAAAUAGGAUUGAUGGCAAUGGUGCUACGAGCACAUACAGGGUUGCUAAAUUUGAAGAUGACAAUAAAGAAUACACAGUAACUCUAAACAUAUCUGAUAUAAGAGCAAACUGUAGCUGUCUGAUGUUUGAAUAUUCAGGAAUUCUUUGUAAACAUAUAUUAACAGUAUUUACAGUGACAAAUGUUUUGACCUUGCCUUCACACUACAUCUUGAGGCGUUGGACCCAAAAUGCCAAGAGUGUGGUUGCAUUGGAUGAGCCUAGUGCUGAUCAUGCACAGGAAUCAAUCCCAUCAAGGUAUAAACUUCUAUGCCGAAAAGCAAUUAGAUAUGCAAUAGAAGGAGCAACAUCAUCAGAGACCUAUAUCACAGCUAUAACUGGUCUGAUUGAAGGGGGGAAGAAGAUUGCUACUGUGAAGAAAAAUGUUGCCAAAAUUGCUCCUCAGACCCCUCAACUAUCUGCUUCUAGAAGUGGUGAUAAGAAAAACUCUGCUGCUGAUACUCGUUUGUUAUGGCCGAGACAAGAUGAAGUUGCCAGGAGGUUUAACCUCAAUGACUCUUCCAUCCUACCUCAUCUUGUCAGUGAUAUGAAUCUUGUACGCAUGGAACCCACUUACCUUAAACGAGAUGAUGUGCCCUUUGACAACAUGGUUGUACUUCCUUGUCUAAAGUCAAUGACAUGGGUCAUGGAGAAUAAAAAUUCCACACCAGAAAAUAGACUAGCUAUAAUCAAUUUAAAGUUGCAAGAUUACAGCAAGAGCCCUGCAGUAGAGUCAGAAGUUAAGUUUCAGCUGUCGAGGGUCACUUUGGAACCUAUGAUUAGAUCUAUGGCCAACAUUAGUGAACAGCUGUCCACCCCAGCUAAUCGGGUUGCUGUAAUCAAUUUAAAGCUCCAAGACACCGAGACAAUUUCUGGGGAGUCGGAGGUGAAGUUUCAAGUUUCCAGGGACACAUUGGGUGCCAUGUUGAGAUCAAUGGCUUAUAUCCGUGAACAGUUAUCUGUUGUGGUCAUCUCAAAGGUUUGGCCACGUCAUCUCAUGUCUGAACAUAGAUAAGAAUGGUGGUUGUCGUCAUGAUUGCGGUGAUGGUUGUGAUGUUGCAGAUGCGGCACCUCCUGAUGGAUUCAACAGAACAGACGUCAAAAAAGCAGCGAAAAUAGCUGCUUUAGAGUCUUGUAAUUGCAGUUUUAGGGUUAGAUUUGCAGCUUCCUUUAGGUGUGCAGUUAGGACAUUUUUCUUUUCUUACUCACCUCGGUUGUCGCGCGUUUCAGUCACCUGUCGUAAGUACAUACCAGUUUGCCGUGUGUUGGUUUGCACAGUUGGAAUGGGGUAGGAGAAGUGCUAGUUUUGUUACAUAAGAGGCUUAAGUUAAGUCUCCCUCUUCGUCUCCCCUGAUAUUGAGGCGUGAAAAAGUUGUAUGUGUUUUCGUUUUAUGGUCUUCAACCAUGUAAUCAUAAUUGAUUGUUCCUUUGGCUACUUUCACCAGCUGAAACCCCACCUAUUAUAGGUCCGCCCGACCUCCCUACACAGGCUACAUUGCAGUUUCUGUCUUCCUUACGAUUUUAAGUUUCAUUAUUAUUUGCAAUUUAAGUUGAUCAUGUAUUAAAUCAAAAGUGAUUUGCAAUUUAAGUUGAUCAUGUAUUAAAUCAAAA